UGAAUGGAAUUCAUAUGUAUUUUCUUUAAAUAUCAGAAAGUGUUGCUUAAUUUUCUUCAUAAUCAUUAUAAAGCUAACAUUUUAUGACUUGAAGCACUUUUUAGCAUAGAACUGCACCCAGUUUCUACAUAUUCAGAGUUAAGAUAUCAUCUAUAUUCUGCCACAGAGCUCAGAAGCAAGGAGUGCCAUCCUGAUCCCAGCUUCAAGUCCCCAGUCCAGAUGCCUCCAUGCCUUCUCAAUUUCUUCUCCAUGGAAAGGAAUAGAAAUCUUAUAGGUCAACAAGUAUGGGGUGGAUUCCAAUUUGCAAAACCUUUAUAGAUGGCCUCAUUUACUUAUAUACAUGGGGAAAGGUAUCCAAAAGACAGGAAGAAGCAGUAAAAUAUCUACAUGAGUGAUCUACCAUACUGUUGAGAAAUACCACUGAAUGCCAGUGUUACUCCAAUGUUACAUUUCCUUGGCCUCUCUUUUUUUCCUUCCUUUAAUCUAUUCCAGACACGCUCAUUGGCAAAACCCAACCAGAAGCCAGAGCAGAGAGCCUGGGCACUGUGUCCUAUAGAGGUUACAGAUCCAAGUUCACAGACCAAGGUCGAGAGACGUGGAGAAUGGGUCUCAUGGCAAGCAGAAGCAGAGAGAAUUAGCCAGGAUAAAGACGAGAAGAAAAUUAAAAAUCCUUCGGAAGUCCACCCUCCAGAGCUCUCUGACGCAGUGGAGACAUGGAGAAUGUAGAAAGAACGGUGCCCUCGUGUGCCUGCCUAGGGGCUGUGCCAUCUGCAGGCUGUGACUGUCGUGUCAUAUCUGUGAAGACUCCCGUCCUGGGCUGCUGUGGAGCCUCAUUCUUCCCCACCCCCGUUUCCCAGGACAUGAAGAGAGGGGUGCCCAUGGACGCAGCACUCUGGAUGGUGUCCUGAUAUUUCGGACAGGUCAGCCCUGUGGUUCUGGUUUUAGGGAUCUUGGCUCAUGGAAUGAGAGGUCCUGACGUGGCACUUUUAAUCCAGUUCGUUGCCUGGCAUUUGUUUGAAUAUUGAUCCUAACUCGCUGAAUGAUGUUUUUACUGUUUCCAAUGUUUCCAGUCUUAGGUAUUUUCAUGAGAAGUUGGGAAGGGCUUGUUAGGGAGCUAUUAACCAAGCAUCAUUUAAAAACUCGAGUUCUAAGGAAGCUUCUAAUUAAGGAGCUAUCUGGGCUCACAAAGAAUAAAGCGCUGGAAGCAGCCA
Molecule: long non-coding RNA, 1211 nt
Filed under: Felis catus (domestic cat)
Lineage: Eukaryota; Metazoa; Chordata; Mammalia; Carnivora; Felidae
Description: lncRNA (ENSFCAG00000042311.2)
Source: RNAcentral